UACGAAGGGGGCUAGCGUUGCUCGGAAUUACUGGGCGUAAAGGGCGCGUAGGCGGACAGUUUAGUCAGAGGUGAAAGCCCAGGGCUCAACCUUGGAAUAGCCUUUGAUACUGGCUGUCUUGAGUUCGGGAGAGGUGAGUGGAAUGCCGAGUGUAGAGGUGAAAUUCGUAGAUAUUCGGCGGAACACCAGUGGCGAAGGCGACUCACUGGCCCGAUACUGACGCUGAGGCACGAAAGCGUGGGGAGCAAACAGG
RNAcentral lists this ribosomal RNA (253 nucleotides) under uncultured bacterium. RNAcentral describes it as "partial 16S ribosomal RNA". It matches the Rfam family "Bacterial small subunit ribosomal RNA", at positions 524 to 776 of the family's 1533-position model. The record is from RNAcentral.